GACGAACGCUGGCGGCGUGCCUAACACAUGCAAGUCGAACGGAGUUAUCCUUCGGGGUAACUUAGUGGCGAACGGGUGAGUAACGCGUGAGGAACCUGCCUUUCAGUGGGGGACAACAGUUGGAAACGACUGCUAAUACCGCAUAAUGUUAUCGGACCGCAUGGUCUGAUAACCAAAGAUUUAUUGCUGAAAGAUGGCCUCGCGUCUGAUUAGAUAGUUGGUGGGGUAACGGCCUACCAAGUCGACGAUCAGUAGCCGGACUGAGAGGUUGAACGGCCACAUUGGGACUGAGAUACGGCCCAG
Molecule: ribosomal RNA, 303 nt
Filed under: uncultured bacterium
Lineage: Bacteria
Description: bacterial SSU rRNA
Rfam family: Bacterial small subunit ribosomal RNA
Source: RNAcentral